This 253-nucleotide ribosomal RNA is filed under the name uncultured bacterium. Its description in RNAcentral is "partial 16S ribosomal RNA". It matches the Rfam family "Bacterial small subunit ribosomal RNA", at positions 524 to 776 of the family's 1533-position model. The record is from RNAcentral.
UACGUAGGGUGCAAGCGUUAAUCGGAAUUACUGGGCGUAAAGCGUACGCAGGCGGCUUUGCAAGACAGGUGUGAAAUCCCCGGGCCUAACCUGGGAACUGCAUUUGUGACUGCAUGGCUAGAGUUUGGCAGAGGGGGGUGGAAUUCCACGUGUAGCAGUGAAAUGCGUAGAUAUGUGGAGGAACACCGAUGGCGAAGGCAGCCCCCUGGGAUGUGACUGACGCUCAUGUACGAAAGCGUGGGGAGCAAACAGG